GACGAACGCUGGCGGCGUGCUUAACACAUGCGAGUCGAACGGAAAGGCCCUGCUUGCAGGGUCCUCGAGUGGCGAACGGGUGAGUAACACGUGGGUGAUCUGCCCUGCACUUCGGGAUAAGCCUGGGAAACUGGGUCUAAUACCGGAUAGGAGCCAUUUUUAGUGUGAUGGUUGGAAAGUUUUUUCGGUGUAGGAUGAGCUCGCGGCCUAUCAGCUUGUUGGUGGGGUAAUGGCCUACCAAGGCGGCGACGGGUAGCCGGCCUGAGAGGGUGGACGGCCACAUUGGGACUGAGAUACGGCCCAGACUCCUACGGGAGGCAGCAGUGGGGAAUAUUGCACAAUGGGCGCAAGCCUGAUGCAGCGACGCCGCGUGGGGGAUGACGGCCUUCGGGUUGUAAACUCCUUUCGCUAGGGACGAAGCUUUUGUGACGGUACCUAGAUAAGAAGCACCGGCUAACUACGUG
Molecule: ribosomal RNA, 464 nt
Filed under: uncultured bacterium
Lineage: Bacteria
Description: partial 16S ribosomal RNA
Rfam family: Bacterial small subunit ribosomal RNA
Source: RNAcentral